UCCCUGGUGGUCCAGUGUUUAGGACACUGCGCUUUCACAGCCGAGGGCCCAGGUUCGAUCCCUGGUUGGGGAA
Non-coding RNA from Lipotes vexillifer (Yangtze River dolphin), 73 nucleotides. NCBI's taxonomy places the organism in Eukaryota, Metazoa, Chordata, Mammalia, Artiodactyla, Lipotidae. The record is from the annotation of a RefSeq genome assembly.